This 798-nucleotide long non-coding RNA is filed under the name Rattus norvegicus (Norway rat). Its description in RNAcentral is "long non-coding RNA NONRATT033717". Lineage: Eukaryota; Metazoa; Chordata; Mammalia; Rodentia; Muridae. The record is from RNAcentral.
UGGGGGACAGGGUCUGCCCGUGUCAUUCCUCACUCUGUCCCCAGCACCUACAGCAGGACCUGGAAGGAAAUCGGAACUUUACUGAUUGCAUGGUUUUUAUCUGCCGACGUUUAAUAAUGAGCUUGAAGCAAACGCUUUGAGGGAUCCAGAGAUGUCCACCGGACUCACUGACAUAGAUUAGUGUCUACGCCGUACAUGCGCUUGACACUGAUGCCCAACACAGAGAGACUGCGGCUCGCAAAGCUCAGACUUUCCAGGCCCAGAGCGGUUUCUCAUAUUUGAUGAUCUCAGGAUUUUGCCAAAACGUUACAAGUUCGUGGCCUAGAAGGUCUGAGCUGAGGAAGCGUGCUGAAUGGUUCUACGUGCAGACGAAUGGAUGAAUGGAUGCGUGCGCCCAAAAUAAAUGGUCCUUUCAGGAAAAGAUCACAACCCUUAUUUGUCCUUCUCCGGAGCUCCUUCUAUUCACAGGACCUCUCUCCUGUCCCCUGAUCCUCUGUAAAAGUCAGCCAUUACAGAGCCAGAGCGAUACCCUGACAGGGUGAUCCGAGAAGACCUGACGUCACCAGCACACCGCCCUUCAUAAACUCUAAGCAGACAGACAUCACCGAAGAGGUGGUUAAACUGUGGUUCACGAGGCUGGUGGGAUGGCUCAGUGGGCAGAGGCGCCUGUCCCAGAACCUGAUGAUCUGAGGUUGAUCCUUGGGGUCCUCGUGGUGGAAUGAGAGAGCCAAGUCCCACGAGCUGUCCUCUUAUUUCCACGGGGCACUGUAGCAUACACCCGCACACAGAAAGACGAUA